This is an RNA transcript of Benincasa hispida (wax gourd), 2300 nucleotides long. RefSeq lists it as uncharacterized. The record is from RefSeq and is a predicted model, not a curated record. NCBI's taxonomy places the organism in Eukaryota, Viridiplantae, Streptophyta, Magnoliopsida, Cucurbitales, Cucurbitaceae.
CAUCGACUUAAACUUUGGUAAAAUUCAGAAAUAUUAACACCUUAUAUUUAAACUUUGAAGAUAUCUUUGUCUAUGAGUUUUGGGACGUACUUGAAAUUUGAUUUGCUGUUAUUCUCAUGGACAAGAAGUAAUCAGUCGUUCAAAGAUGGCAUGUGAAUACUUUGAAUGUCAUCUAAUGAUUCGAUCUCUUCACAGAUCAUGAUAGUUAGCAAUUAACAUUUGGAUUUCCUAUAGUAUGAUUUCAGAAAAUAAUUGGUUUCCAAUAAUAAAUAACUGAAGGCAAUGCUGUCAUUUAAUAGAAGGUUAUAGUAAAUUAAAAUUUGUCAUGCAUUAGACUAUUGUAACAUUUUAGUUUUGGUGUCAAAGUGAGCCUGACCAAGUGAUAUUGGCAUGGAUUUUCUCUCUCAAGAGGUCGGCGGUGUUCAAUCUCCCACUCCCGCAAUUGUGAUGGAGCCAUUGAAAUAAGAAAUUCCACCUAAUCGAAUUAUUUGGUGGGUAAACAGUAGCAUUAGGUCUAUCAAGUUCACUCAAUUAGUACACACAUUGUUCUCUUCUAUAUUUUAUUAUAGCUUUAUUAUUUUAGAUAGAUAUUCUUGAGGUUAAGAAGUUUAAAGUUCUCAAUAUAAUAUCUUUAACACAAUCUUAGUUCAUACCUACAAAUUGUCACAAAAGUUAAAUAACAUUAAAGUUGGCUAUUUCUUUAAAACACUAAAAUGGAUUAGUUUGAACGUAACUAAAAUGGAUUAAUGUGAACGUAAGUAAAUAAUUAAAAUGGCCAAUCGAAGUUUAAAUCCUAAUCAUUAGCUCGAUAGUUAAGGUAAUAGAGUAACAUAUAGUUAAGGUAAUAAAGUAACAUAUGACCUUAUCUAAUUGGACUUUUUUUCUUAAUCAAAAUUAAAAAAAAAAAAAUCAAGAAUCGAAACAAUCAUUUUUAUUCACAUUAAUUUGGGUUUUGUCUUUACAAAAUCGAUUAAUUCGAUUUGGUUCUAAAACUAAAUUGGCUAUUAUGAUAAUGUUUGAAUAUAUUGAAAUAUGAAUCACAAUGGAAUGAAAUUACAAAAUAAACUAAGUAAUUCAUGAUCUUUGGAUUCCAAAAGUCACUCUCAAACUCAAAUUCACUCCUCAAAUAUUACCUCAUUACUCACUUCCUCUCCCUCUCUAUUUAUAAUAAAAAAUCACAACUUUGCUAAUUAAUUAUUAACAUGCCCUAAAAAUCUCAAAUAACAUUCCCAUCAUUUUACCCUACAUAGUAUAGAUACGUAGAUCGAUAAAUAUAAGGAUAAAAUUGUCAUUAUAAGAAGUUUGUGAGGGCAAAUGUGAGACAUGGAGAGGAUAAAUUUGCAAAUUUUUGAAACUAUAAAUAUGACAUCGAGCUAUAAAGCAUUCCCGCGCGUAGUACCAUCUUCUUCACCUCAAAAAAAAAUUCAAAACUUCCCGAAGAAAAAACCUAAUGCAAGCAACUUCUCUUUCAAAAUCUUUCUAGAAUUUCGCAAACGAUCAUGGCUUCUUCUCCAGAAUUCCAUGAACCAACAACCCCCAACAGCGGCGGCGCUUCAGUUUCUUACUUCCAGAAAACAGGGACAACCUGUUCGAAUAUUUUCUUCUGCUCCCAUUGUUAAGAGAUACGAUGUUUUCACUCUGGAGACUGCUGAUGGAAUCUGUGUUAUUCUUAAGGGUUUCAUAAACAAACUGCGUACUGCUGAUAAUGGGUUCACGCCGCAGGUUUUCAAGCAUUUUGUAUUUGGGUUUCCUCCCAACUGGGAAAAUCAUGCAGCAAAUUGCUUUGAGGGAGAAGCUUCUAAGAGUAUUGCUGCUGGGGGAAAUAUUUCUGAUACAGACAAUUCGCCCUGUACAUCAAAAAGUAAUAAUGAUGCUGACAUGAACAACUGUACUCUCACCAAUAUGAGUUCUCCUUUGUGUGAGAUUUCUCCAAGUCAUGGAUGGGAUCAUGGAGAUUCUGUGGCCGAAGAUAAGAUGCAGAGAACAAGUGCAACUGAUAUUCCAGCACCUUUCACUGUCGCUGAUAUUCAAAAUGAAGUUGAAAACAAAGGAACAAAAGAGACAGAAUCUCGGAAGAAAGUCGAGAAGAAAAUUAUUUUUGAUUCACCUAUGAAAACUCAUAAAAUGUGUAUGGAUGGUGGUUAUUGAUUCAGGGAAGUAGUGGUAUUAGUAUGAAUACAAGGGGAAGAAAGGAGAAGAAAUGUAUAAUAUCUCCAGAAUGUAGGAGUUAUGGGCGAUCACGAUCAGGGCGAUUACUUCUGCCGACAAUGGAGUUUUGGCGCAACCAAUUACCUGUUUAC